Molecule: non-coding RNA, 249 nt
Organism: Vicia faba (fava bean)
Lineage: Eukaryota; Viridiplantae; Streptophyta; Magnoliopsida; Fabales; Fabaceae
Source: the annotation of a GenBank genome assembly
AUGGUGCAUCGUGGGCUCAAAGAGGAUGUACAACCCAGUUCAAUAGGCGUGAUUUGGAAGAUUCAAUUAAAUGCUGCAGUGAAAGCUUCAGAUCACGCAGGCUUGGGGCUCUUAAUCUACACAUUAUCUUCUACAAAUUCGAAGCGAGAAAAGCGAAGCAGAUGGCCAAGAAAUCUAGAGACCCUUGAUAAGGCUCUUAUACAGUUAUGCGUGUGCGGUCGUUGGGAGCGAGAGUGCCAUUAUGAUUGA